AGAGUUUGAUCCUGGCUCAGAAUGAACGUUGGCGGCAUGGAUUAGGCAUGCAAGUCGAGCGAGAAGUGUAGCAAUACACGGAAAGCGGCGGAAGGGAGAGUAAUACGUGGGAAUCUGCCCUUAGACCUGGGAUAGCAGCGGGAAACUGCUGGUAAUACCAGAUAAUGUCUAUGGACCAAAGGUGUGAUUCCGUCUAGGGAUGACCCCACGUCCUAUUAGCUAGUUGGUAGGGUAAUGGCCUACCAGGGCGAUGAUGGGUAGCGGGUGUGAGAGCAUGACCCGCCUCACUGGGAAUGAAACACUGCCCAAACACCUACGGGUGGCUGCAGUUGAGAAUUUUCGGCAAUGGGCGCAAGCCCUGACCGAGCGAUGCCGCGUGCGGGAUGAAGGCCUUCGGGUUGUAAACCGCUGUCGAGGGGGAGCAACUUCCAUAGAGUUAUCUUUAUGGAUUGAGUGAUCCCUGGAGGAAGGACGGGCUAAGUUCGUGCCAGCAGCCGCGGUAAGACGAACCGUCCAAACGUUAUUCGGUAUCACUGGGCUUAAAGAGUUCGUAGGCGGCUAAACAGGUGAGGUGUGAAAGCCCUCGGCUCAACCGAGGAACUGCGCUUCAAACCGUUUAGCUAGAGGAAGACAGAGGUGAGCGGAACUGAUGGUGGAGCGGUGAAAUGCGUUGAUAUCAUCAGGAACACCGGUGGCGAAAGCGGCUCACUGGGUCUUUUCUGACGCUGAGGAACGAAAGCUAGGGGAGCGAAAAAGAUUCGAUACCCCGGUAGUCCUAGCCGUAAACG
RNAcentral lists this ribosomal RNA (788 nucleotides) under uncultured bacterium. RNAcentral's name for it is "bacterial SSU rRNA". It matches the Rfam family "Bacterial small subunit ribosomal RNA", at positions 8 to 808 of the family's 1533-position model. The record is from RNAcentral.